CCAGACUCCUACGGGAGGCAGCAGUGAGGAAUAUUGGUCAAUGGGCGCGAGCCUGAACCAGCCAAGUCGCGUGAGGGAUGACGGCCCUACGGGUUGUAAACCUCUUUUGUCGGGGAGCAAAUUCCGCCACGUGUGGCGGAGUCGAGAGUACCCGAAGAAAAAGCAUCGGCUAACUCCGUGCCAGCAGCCGCGGUAAUACGGAGGAUGCGAGCGUUAUCCGGAUUUAUUGGGUUUAAAGGGUGCGUAGGCGGAAUGCCAAGUCAGCGGUAAAAUUGAGGGGCUCAACCUCUUCGAGCCGUUGAAACUGGUUUUCUUGAGUGAGUGAGAAGUAUGCGGAAUGCGUGGUGUAGCGGUGAAAUGCAUAGAUAUCACGCAGAACUCCGAUUGCGAAGGCAGCAUACCGGCGCUCAACUGACGCUCAUGCACGAAAGUGUGGGUAUCGAACAGGAUUAGAUACCCUCGUAA
This 465-nucleotide ribosomal RNA is filed under the name uncultured bacterium. RNAcentral describes it as "bacterial SSU rRNA". It matches the Rfam family "Bacterial small subunit ribosomal RNA", at positions 331 to 793 of the family's 1533-position model. The record is from RNAcentral.